RNAcentral lists this long non-coding RNA (1890 nucleotides) under Homo sapiens (human). RNAcentral's name for it is "HSALNT0288248". Lineage: Eukaryota; Metazoa; Chordata; Mammalia; Primates; Hominidae. The record is from RNAcentral.
UUGUGACAUAUCUCUGCACUGAUCACCCAGGUGAUGGAAGUCUUGUCUAGCCUCUGUCUAUGGGGGCAUUGUGUCAAAUAUCUGCAUUGAUCACCCAGGUGAUGUAACUCUUGUCCAGACUCUGCCUACUGGAGACAUUGUGACAUAUCUCUGCACUGAUCACCCAGGUGAUGUCACUUUUGUCAAGGAUAUGGCUACAGGGACAUUGUGACAUGUCACUGCACUGAUCACACACCUGAUGUAACUCUUGUCUAGGCUCUGGGUACAGGGGGCUUGUGACACAUCUCUGCACUGAUCACCCAGGUGAUGUAACCCUUGUCUAGCCUCUGCCAAAAGGGGGCAUUUUGACAUAACUCUGCACUGAUCACCCAGGUGAUGGGACUCUUGUCUAGGCUCUGCCUACAGGGGCAUUGUGACAUAUCUCUGCAGUGAUCACGCAGGUGAUGUAACUCUUGUCUAUAUCUGCCUACUGGUGGCAUUGUGGCAUAUGUCUGCACUGAUCACCGAGGUGAUGGAACGCUUGACUAGGCUCUGCCUACGGGGCAUAGUGACAUAUCACUGCAUUGAUCACCGAGGAGAUGUAACUCUUGUCUAGGCUCUGCCUAAAGUGGGCUUGUGACAUAUCUCUGCACUGAUCACCCAGGUGAUAUAACUCUUCUCUAGGAUCUGCCUACUGGGUGCUUUGUGACAUAUCCCUGCAAUGAUCACCCAGGUGAUAUACCACUUGUCAAGGCCCUGCCUACAGGGGCAUUGCGAUGUAUCUCUGCACUGAUCACCUAGGUCAUGUAAAUCUUUUCUAGGCUCUACCUAUAGUGGCAUUGUGACAUAUCUCUGCACUGAUCACCCAGGUGAUGUAACUCUUUUCUAGGAUCUGCCUACAGGGUGCUUUGUGACAUAUCCCUGCAAUGAUCACCCAGGUGAUGUACCACUUGUCAAGGCUCUGCCUACAGGGACAUUGCGAUGUAUCUCUGCACUGAUCACCGAGGUCAUGUAACUCUAGUCUAGGCUCUGCCUACUGUAGCAUAGUGACAUAUCUCUGCACUGAUCAUCCAAGUGAUGUAACCUUUCUCUAGGAUCUGCCUAAAGGGAAUUUGUGACAUAACUCUGCACUGAUCAUCCAGGUGAUGGGGCUUUUAUCUAGGCUCUGCCUAAGGGGGCAUUGUGACAUAUUUCUGCACUGAUCACCCAGGUGAAGGACUCUUGUCUUCGAUCGGCCUAUAGGGGCAUUGUGACAUAUUUCUGCACUGAUCACCCAGGUGAUGGGACUCUUGUCUAGGCUCUGUGUAUGGGGACUUUGUGACAUAUCUCUGCAGUAAUCACCCAGGUGAUGUAACGCUUGACUAGGCUCUGCCUACGGGGCAUAGUGACAUAUCACUGCAUUGAUCACUGAGGUGAUGUAACUCUUGUCCGACUCUGCGUAUAGGGGGCCUUGUGACAUAUCUCUGCACUGAUCAUCUAGGUGAUGUAACUCUUGCUUACACUCUGCCUGCAGGGGCAUUGUGAAAUAUCUCUGCACUGAUCACGCAGGUGAUUGGACUCUUCUGUAGGCUCCGCCUCCUGAGGGCAUUGUCACAUAUUUCUGCAAUGAUCACCCAGGUGACGAACGCUUGUCUUGGAUUUGCCUAUGGGGACAUUGUGACAUAUCUCUGCAAUGAUCAUCCAGGUGAUGUAACUCUGGUCUAAGCUCUGCCUAAAGGGGCCUUGUGACAGAUCUCUGCAGUGAUCACUCAGGUGAUGUAACUAUUGUCGAGGGUCUGCUUAAAGGGGCCUUGUCACAUAUCUCUGCCCUGAUCACCCAGAUGAUGUAACUCUUGUCUAGGCUCUGCUUACAGGGGGCAAUGUGACAUAUCUCUGCAGUGAUCACCUAAGUGAUGUAACAGUUGUGUAGGU